UUAAACCCCCCUUGGUAUUUCGUAAAUAGGAAAUGAAAUUCCCGGGCUUCAACUUGGGACUGCAUUCCAAACUGCCUGAGUAGAGUACGGUAGAGGGUUGUGGAAUUUCCAGUGUAGCGGUGAAAUGGUUGAUAUUGGAAGGAACACCAGUGGCGAAGGCGACCACCCGGACUGAUACUGACAUUGAGGUGCGAAAGCGUGGGAGCAAACAGGAAUAGAUACCCUGGUAGUUCACGCCGUAAACGAUGUCGACUAGCCGUUGGGAUCCUUGAGAUCUUAGUGGCGCAGCUAACGCGAUAAGUCGACCGCCUGGGGAGUACGGCCGCAAGGUUAAAACUCAAAUGAAUUGACGGGGGCCCGCACAAGCGGUGGAGCAUGUGGUUAAUUCGAAGCAACGCGAAGAACCUUACCUGGCCUUGACAUGUCCGGAAUCCUGCAGAGAUGCAGGAGAGUGCCUUCGGGAAUCGGAACACUACGGUGCUAGACAUGAGCUGUCAUCAUCACGUCGUGCAA
RNAcentral lists this ribosomal RNA (513 nucleotides) under Pseudomonas sp. C1K. RNAcentral describes it as "bacterial SSU rRNA". It matches the Rfam family "Bacterial small subunit ribosomal RNA", at positions 561 to 1070 of the family's 1533-position model. The record is from RNAcentral. Lineage: Bacteria; Pseudomonadati; Pseudomonadota; Gammaproteobacteria; Pseudomonadales; Pseudomonadaceae.